ACGGCUCAGUAACACGUCGUUAAUCUGCCCUGUGGUCGUUGAUAACUUCGGGAAACUGAGGGUAAACAGCGAUAGGAGAUUUUACCUGGAACGGUAUUUCUCUGAAACUCGUGCCACAGGAUGAGACGGCGGUCGAUUAGGUUGAUGGUGGUGUAAUGGACCACCAUGCCUGUGAUCGAUACGGGCCUUGAGAGAGGUAGCCCGGAGAGGGACACUGAGAAACUGGUCCCAGCCCUACGGGGUGCAGCAGGCGCGAAACCUUUACAAUGCACGCAAGUGUGAUAAGGGAAUCCUUAGUGCUCAUGCAAUGCAUGGGCUUUUGCCAAGAGUAAAUAUCUUGGAGAAUAAGUGGUGGGUAAGACUGGUGCCAGCCGCCGCGGUAACACCAGCGCCACAAGUGGCAACCACGUUUAUUGGGCCUAAAGCGUCCGUAGCCGGUUUGGUAAAUCUUUUGUGAAAUCGUCAUGCUUAACGUGACGGCGUGCUUAAGACACUACUAAACUUGAGACCGGGAGGAGUCAGAGGUAUUCCUGAGGGAGCGGUAAAAUGUGAUAAUCUCAGGAGGAUCACCUAUGGCGAAGGCAUCUGACCAGAACGGAUCUGACGGUGAGGGACGAAGGCUAGGGGAGCGAUCCGGAUUAGAUACCCGAGUAGUCCUAGCAGUAAACGCUGCGAGCAAGAUGUUGCAUUUCUCAUGAGGAUGUGCAGUGUCGAAGCGAAGGCAUUAAGCUCGCCGCCUGGGAAGUACGGUCGCAAGACUGAAACUUUAAGGAAUUGGCGGGGGAGCAC
This 789-nucleotide ribosomal RNA is filed under the name uncultured archaeon. RNAcentral's name for it is "bacterial SSU rRNA". It matches the Rfam family "Archaeal small subunit ribosomal RNA", at positions 85 to 879 of the family's 1478-position model. The record is from RNAcentral.